Molecule: long non-coding RNA, 386 nt
Organism: Myotis brandtii (Brandt's bat)
Lineage: Eukaryota; Metazoa; Chordata; Mammalia; Chiroptera; Vespertilionidae
Exons: 3
Source: RefSeq, a predicted model, not a curated record
CAUAAUAAAAGAGUAGCUCUCAUAAUCAGAAGACAGCAAGGCAGUUCAAAUAUCUCAGCUUCAGCCCAGUCACUACCCUUCAUCACAAAUCGCUCAGAACAAUUUUCCAACUCAUUGACAACGUUCUCCAGUUUCUGCUGAGUGAUUUUGCAAUUUGCUUCCAUCAUCCGUGCUGGGUUCCUCCGAACAAUGAGCCUGCGGAACUAGGAAUCAGGUGUCAUUUUGUGCAAGAAGUCACAACCUGGUGUGGAUGUGAGCCAGAUGACUCUUAACCCCAUGAACUGGCCACAGCUGUGCUUGUCAAGUCCAAGUUCAGUCACUAUGUGGACCAUGGAAAGAAGUAACCAGGAGCAUUCUCUCAAAGCAAAGUGAGAGACUUCAUAACA